CCUACGGGAGGCAGCAGUGAGGAAUAUUGGGCAAUGGGCGAGAGCCGGAACCAGCCAAGUCGCGGGAGGGAAGACGGUCCGAUGGAUGGUAAACCUCUGUUGCCGGGGAGCAAAAAGCGGUACGUGUACCGCAUCGAGAGUACCCGGAGAAAAAGCAUCGGCUAACUCCGUGCCAGCAGCCGCGGUAAUACGGAGGAGGCGAGCGUUAUCCGGAUUUAUUGGGUUGAAAGGGUGCGCAGGCGGCGAGUUAAGUCAGCGGUAAAAUUUCGGGGCUCAACCCCGACGAGCCGUUGAAACUGGCUUGCUAGAGUGGGCGAGACGUAUGCGGAAUGCGUGGUGUAGCGGU
RNAcentral lists this ribosomal RNA (346 nucleotides) under uncultured bacterium. Its description in RNAcentral is "partial 16S ribosomal RNA". It matches the Rfam family "Bacterial small subunit ribosomal RNA", at positions 338 to 682 of the family's 1533-position model. The record is from RNAcentral.